AACGAACGCUGGCGGCAUGCCUAACACAUGCAAGUCGAACGAAGGCUUCGGCCUUAGUGGCGCACGGGUGCGUAACGCGUGGGAAUCUGCCCUUUGGUUCGGAAUAACAGCUGGAAACGGCUGCUAAUACCGGAUGAUGACCAAAGUCCAAAGAUUUAUCGCCAGAGGAUGAGCCCGCGUUGGAUUAGGUAGUUGGUGGGGUAAAGGCCUACCAAGCCGACGAUCCAUGGCUGGUCUGAGAGGAUGAUCAGCCACACUGGGACUGAGACACGGCCCAGACUCCUACGGGAGGCAGCAGUGGGGAAUAUUGGACAAUGGGCGAAAGCCUGAUCCAGCAAUGCCGCGUGAGUGAUGAAGGCCCUAGGGCUGUAAAGCUCUUUUACCCGGGAAGAUAAUGACUGUACCGGGAGAAUAAGCCCCGGCUAACUCCGUG
Molecule: ribosomal RNA, 433 nt
Filed under: uncultured bacterium
Lineage: Bacteria
Description: partial 16S ribosomal RNA
Rfam family: Bacterial small subunit ribosomal RNA
Source: RNAcentral